RNAcentral lists this ribosomal RNA (532 nucleotides) under uncultured bacterium. RNAcentral's name for it is "bacterial SSU rRNA". It matches the Rfam family "Bacterial small subunit ribosomal RNA", at positions 767 to 1289 of the family's 1533-position model. The record is from RNAcentral.
AGCUAAUAGAUACCCGGGUAGUCCUGGCCGUAAACGAUGUCGACUAGAUCGCAGUUCCUUUGACGGAAAUUGUGGUCGAAAGCAAAAAAAGUGCUAAGUCGACCGCCUGGGAAGUACGGUCGCAAGGCUAAAAACUCAAAGAAAUUGACGGGGGCUCACACAAGCGGUGGAGCAUGUGGUUCAAUUCGAAGCAACGCGCAGAACCUUACCUGGGCUUGACAUGCUAGGAUUAUCUCGGUGAAAGUCGAGUAGGCCCCGCAAGGGGUACAACUAGUACAGGUGCUGCAUGGCUGUCGUCAGCUCGUGUCGUGAGAUGUCGGGUUUAAGUCCCUUAACGAGCGAAACCUUUGCCCUUAGUUACCAGCGGGUUAUGCCGGGGACUCUAAGGGGACUGCCGGUGUCAAACCGGAGGAAGGUGGAGAUGACGUCAAGUCCUCAUGGCCUUUAUGCCCAGGGCCACACACGUGCUACAAUGGGAUGCACAAAGCGAACCAAGACCGCAAGGUGGUGGAAAUCGCAGAAAUCAUCCCCA